UAAGUGACUAAGCGUACACGGUGGAUGCCUUGGCAGUCAGAGGCGAUGAAAGACGUAGUAACUUGCGAUAAGCCCAGAUUAGGUAGUAACAACCAUUUGAGUCUGGGAUUUCUGAAUGGGGAAACCCACGUGCAUAAGCACGUAUCCUUACCUGAAUACAUAGGGUAAGGAGGCGAACCGGGGGAACUGAAACAUCUAAGUACCCCGAGGAAAAGAAAUCAACCGAGAUUCCGAAAGUAGCGGCGAGCGAAAUUGGACUAGCCCUUAAGCUUUACACGCGUUAGACGAACGGUCUGGAAAGUCCGACGAUACAGGGUGAUAGUCCCGUAGUUGACGACGUGUGUUCAGUGAAAUCGAGUAGGGCGGGACACGUGAUAUCCUGUCUGAAUAUGGGGGGACCAUCCUCCAAGGCUAAAUACUACUGACUGACCGAUAGUGAACCAGUACCGUGAGGGAAAGGCGAAAAGAACCCCUGUGAGGGGAGUGAAAUAGAACCUGAAACCGUGUACGUACAAGCAGUAGGAGCAGGCUUGUCCUGUGACUGCGUACCUUUUGUAUAAUGGGUCAGCGACUUAUAUUCAGUGGCAAGGUUAACCAUCUAGGGGAGCCGUAGGGAAACCGAGUCUUAACUGGGCGUUCAGUCUCUGGAUAUAGACCCGAAACCAGGUGAUCUAGCCAUGGGCAGGUUGAAGGUUGAGUAACAUCAACUGGAGGACCGAACCGACUAAUGUUGAAAAAUUAGCGGAUGACUUGUGGCUAGGGGUGAAAGGCCAAUCAAACCUGGAGAUAGCUGGUUCUCCCCGAAAGCUAUUUAGGUAGCGCCUCGGACGAAUACUACUGGGGGUAGAGCACUGUUAAGGCUAGGGGGUCAUCCCGACUUACCAACCCUUUGCAAACUCCGAAUACCAGUAAGUACUAUCCGGGAGACACACGGCGGGUGCUAACGUCCGUCGUGGAGAGGGAAACAACCCAGACCGCCAGCUAAGGUCCCAAAUUACUACUAAGUGGGAAACGAUGUGGGAAGGCUCAGACAGCCAGGAUGUUGGCUUAGAAGCAGCCAUCAUUUAAAGAAAGCGUAAUAGCUCACUGGUCGAGUCGGCCUGCGCGGAAGAUGUAACGGGGCUAAGUAGUAAACCGAAGCUGCGGCAAUAUACUUUUGUAUAUUGGGUAGGGGAGCGUUCUGUAAGCGGUUGAAGGUGUGUGGUAACGCAUGCUGGACGUAUCAGAAGUGCGAAUGCUGACAUGAGUAACGAUAAAGGGGGUGAAAAACCUCCUCGCCGGAAGACCAAGGGUUCCUGUCCAACGUUAAUCGGGGCAGGGUAAGUCGACCCCUAAGGCGAGGCCGAAAGGCGUAGUCGAUGGGAAACGGGUUAAUAUUCCCGUACUUCUUACAAUUGCGAUGGGGGGACGGAGAAGGCUAGGUGGGCCUGGCGACGGUUGUCCAGGUUCAAGUGCGUAGGCUUAAGAGUUAGGUAAAUCCGGCUCUUUUUAAGGCUGAGACACGACGUCGAGCUACUACGGUAGUGAAGUCAUUGAUGCCAUGCUUCCAGGAAAAGCCUCUAAGCUUCAGAUUGUAAGGAAUCGUACCCCAAACCGACACAGGUGGUCGGGUAGAGAAUACCAAGGCGCUUGAGAGAACUCGGGUGAAGGAACUAGGCAAAAUGGUACCGUAACUUCGGGAGAAGGUACGCUCUCGACGGUGAAGUCCCUCGCGGAUGGAGCUAUUGAGAGUCGCAGAUACCAGGUGGCUGCAACUGUUUAUUAAAAACACAGCACUGUGCAAAAUCGUAAGAUGACGUAUACGGUGUGACGCCUGCCCGGUGCCGGAAGGUUAAUUGAUGGGGUUAGACUUCGGUCGAAGCUCUUGAUCGAAGCCCCGGUAAACGGCGGCCGUAACUAUAACGGUCCUAAGGUAGCGAAAUUCCUUGUCGGGUAAGUUCCGACCUGCACGAAUGGCGUAAUGAUGGCCACGCUGUCUCCACCCGAGACUCAGUGAAAUUGAAAUCGCUGUGAAGAUGCAGUGUACCCGCGGCUAGACGGAAAGACCCCGUGAACCUUUACUACAGCUUGGCACUGAACAUUGACCCUACAUGUGUAGGAUAGGUGGGAGGCUUUGAAGCACGUACGCCAGUAUGUGUGGAGCCGUCCUUGAAAUACCACCCUUGUAGUGUUGAUGUUCUAACGUCGACCCCUUAUCGGGGUUGCGGACAGUGCCUGGUGGGUAGUUUGACUGGGGCGGUCUCCUCCCAAAGAGUAACGGAGGAGCACGAAGGUGGGCUAAUCACGGUUGGACAUCGUGAGGUUAGUGCAAUGGCAUAAGCCCGCUUGACUGCGAGAAUGACAAUUCGAGCAGGUGCGAAAGCAGGUCAUAGUGAUCCGGUGGUUCUGAAUGGAAGGGCCAUCGCUCAACGGAUAAAAGGUACUCCGGGGAUAACAGGCUGAUACCGCCCAAGAGUUCAUAUCGACGGCGGUGUUUGGCACCUCGAUGUCGGCUCAUCACAUCCUGGGGCUGAAGUCGGUCCCAAGGGUAUGGCUGUUCGCCAUUUAAAGUGGUACGCGAGCUGGGUUUAGAACGUCGUGAGACAGUUCGGUCCCUAUCUGCCGUGGGCGUUGGAAGAUUGAAGGGGGCUGCUCCUAGUACGAGAGGACCGGAGUGGACGAACCUCUGGUGUUCGGGUUGUGUCGCCAGACGCAUUGCCCGGUAGCUAAGUUCGGAAUCGAUAACCGCUGAAAGCAUCUAAGCGGGAAGCGAGCCCUGAGAUGAGUCUUCCCUGAUACUUUAAGUAUCCUAAAGGGUUGUCGGAGACUACGACGUUGAUAGGUCAGGUGUGUAAGUGCUGUGAGGCAUUGAGCUAACUGAUACUAAUUGCCCGUGAGGCUUAACCA
RNAcentral lists this ribosomal RNA (2886 nucleotides) under Vibrio parahaemolyticus VP2007-095. RNAcentral describes it as "bacterial LSU rRNA". It matches the Rfam family "Bacterial large subunit ribosomal RNA". Lineage: Bacteria; Pseudomonadati; Pseudomonadota; Gammaproteobacteria; Vibrionales; Vibrionaceae. The record is from RNAcentral.